This 281-nucleotide long non-coding RNA is filed under the name Lathyrus oleraceus (garden pea). Its description in RNAcentral is "Pisum sativum (pea) long non-coding RNA (PSAT_LNC018365)". Lineage: Eukaryota; Viridiplantae; Streptophyta; Magnoliopsida; Fabales; Fabaceae. The record is from RNAcentral.
UGUAUGUCUGCAUUACCGCCAUUGAAGGACCUAAAGAGUUGCAGAAAAUUCCGGAGAUGCAUCUCCGAAAUUUUUCAAUGUUUAGUUUCCCAAUAACCGAAGAUGCAUCUCCGGGAAUUCUUAGUCUGUUUUUUUAUUUUUUAUUUUCUUGCUUGUAGUGUUGAUUGUACUAAUUAUUUGAUUUACUUACAGGCAUUAUGGCUGAUAGAUACGAUAGAUUGGGGCACGAGAGGAUUGCACAUCAUGCAUCAGUGCGGCAGGAGAAAAGUCAGGUUUUGGAG